GGGCGGCUGGCGCAAUGGUAGCGCGUCGCCCUCCUAUGCCGACACAGGAAUGUGCGCAUGGCAAGGCGAAGGUUCUCGGUUCGAGUCCGGGGUCGCUCG
Molecule: non-coding RNA, 99 nt
Organism: Trichodelitschia bisporula
Lineage: Eukaryota; Fungi; Ascomycota; Dothideomycetes; Phaeotrichales; Phaeotrichaceae
Source: the annotation of a GenBank genome assembly